Molecule: ribosomal RNA, 406 nt
Filed under: uncultured bacterium
Lineage: Bacteria
Description: partial 16S ribosomal RNA
Rfam family: Bacterial small subunit ribosomal RNA
Source: RNAcentral
AAUGAACGCUGGCGGCAGGCCUAAUACAUGCAAGUCGAACGAGUGGCGGACGGGUGAGUAAUGUCUGGGAAACUGCCUGAUGGAGGGGGAUAACUACUGGAAACGGGAGCUAAUACCGCAUACCAUCGGAUGUGCCCAGAUGGGAGUAGCUAGUAGGUGGGGUAAAGGCUCACCUAGGCGACGAUCCCUAGCUAGUCUGAGAGGAUGAACAGCCACACUGGAACUGAGACACGGUCCAGACUCCUACGGGAGGCAGCGUUGGGGAAUAUUGCACAAUGGGCGCAAGCCUGCUGCAGCCAUGCCGCGUGUAUGAAGAAGGCCUUCGGGUUGUAAAGUACUUUCAGCGGGGAGGCGUUACCCGCAGAAGAAGCACCGGCUAACUCCGUGCCAGCAGCCGCGGUAAUAC